CUGGCUCAGGAUGAACGCUAGCGGCAGGCUUAACACAUGCAAGUCGAGGGUACAGGGCGUAGCAAUACGCUGCUGACGACCGGCGCACGGGUGCGUAACGCGUAUGCAACCUACCUGUAACAGGGGGAUAACGGAGACGAAAUUUCCACUAAUACCCCAUAUUGUCUGGGAGCUGCAUGGUUUCAGACGAAAGCUUUGGUGGUUACGGAUGGGCAUGCGUGACAUUAGGUAGUUGGCGGGGCAACGGCCCGCCAAGCCGACGAUGUCUAGGGGAGCUGAGAGGCUGGACCCCCACACUGGUACUGAGACACGGACCAGACUCCUACGGGAGGCAGCAGUGAGGAAUAUUGGUCAAUGGGAGGAAUCCUGAACCAGCCAUGCCGCCGUGAGGGAGGAAGGCCCUAUGGGUUGUAAACCUCUUUUGCCUCGGGGCAAUAAGGUUCAUGCGUGGACCGAUGAGAGUACGAGGCGAAUAAGCAUCGGCUAACUCCGUGCCAGCCGCCGC
Molecule: ribosomal RNA, 505 nt
Filed under: uncultured bacterium
Lineage: Bacteria
Description: bacterial SSU rRNA
Rfam family: Bacterial small subunit ribosomal RNA
Source: RNAcentral